RNAcentral lists this ribosomal RNA (516 nucleotides) under uncultured bacterium. Its description in RNAcentral is "bacterial SSU rRNA". It matches the Rfam family "Bacterial small subunit ribosomal RNA", at positions 19 to 518 of the family's 1533-position model. The record is from RNAcentral.
CUGGCUCAGGAUGAACGCUGGCGGCGUGCCUAACACAUGCAAGUCGAACGGAGAUUUAACGCUGAUGAGGCUUCGGCGGAAUCUUGUUAAAUCUUAGUGGCGGACGGGUGAGUAACGCGUGGGCAACCUGCCUCGUACUGGGGGAUAACAGUUGGAAACGACUGUUAAUACCGCAUAAGCGCACGGUACCGCAUGGUACAGUGUGAAAAACUCCGGUGGUACGAGAUGGGCCCGCGUCAGAUUAGCCAGUUGGUGGGGUAACGGCCUACCAAAGCAACGAUCUGUAGCCGGACUGAGAGGUCGGACGGCCACAUUGGGACUGAGACACGGCCCAAACUCCUACGGGAGGCAGCAGUGGGGGAUAUUGCACAAUGGGCGAAAGCCUGAUGCAGCGACGCCGCCGUGAGUGAAGAAGUAUUUCGGUAUGUAAAGCUCUAUCAGCAGGGAAGAAAGACUCGUAAGAGAGAUGACGGUACCUGACUAAGAAGCCCCGGCUAACUACGUGCCAGCCGCGGC